Molecule: RNA transcript, 4690 nt
Organism: Prinia subflava (tawny-flanked prinia)
Lineage: Eukaryota; Metazoa; Chordata; Aves; Passeriformes; Cisticolidae
Gene: INTU
Gene name: inturned planar cell polarity protein
Exons: 16
Source: RefSeq, a predicted model, not a curated record
GAGUUUCACUAACGGGGGACGGGUAUGGGGCGGGUGCUGGGACCUUGCAAUCAGGCAACUAAAUAAAGUUUGUUUCUCCAUGAUGCGUUCUUGUUGAGCCAGGGAAAGGCAUUCAAGGGCCGGGGGAGGCUGGGCACACGGCAAUUCCCACUGCAAUUCCCGAUUUACCCCCGGUGCGAGGGGCGGUUGGCGCGGCCCCUCACGGCCGGGCGCUCGCGCUUCCCGCCGUCUCCAUGGCGCGCGGGGCGCGGCCAAUGGGAGUGCGCGGCGUGCGUCACGUGCCGCGCGCGGAGCGCUGUCAUGGCGUCCGCCGGGCCGGGCGGGAGCGGCGCUGCCGAGGGGAUGGAGCCGGCCGGGGGAGAGGGCGCCGAGCCCGCGGGCACCGGCAGCGAGAGCGGCUCCUGCAGCGAGAGCGGCUCCUGCGCCUCCUCGCUGUCUGCGAGCUCCGAUGACCUUGAGCCUGAGUGGUUGGAUAGUGUGCAGAAAAAUGGAGAAUUAUUUUAUUUAGAAUUAAGUGAAAGUGAAGAAGAAGUUCUGCUUCAGAACAGCUGUCCAGAAAUGCCAGCAGUGAAUCACGUCAGGUUUAGUGAAAAUGAAGCUGAAAUUAUUCAGGAGGGAUCACGAAAGGAAAGAAAGUAUGAACUGAAGAAAUGGACCAAAAUGCUAAAAAAGAAGAGUCUUUUACCAAAGGGUUCUGGUAAGAAAGGCAGUGGAAGCUGCAACGUGCACCCCUCUGGUCCUACUUCCAUAUUGAAACACCGCUCUGCUCAGAAAAUGGGUGUGACUGUUCAGCAAAAGUACAAAGAUGUGUCUGUUUAUGUGAAUCCCAGAAAACUCUACAGUGCUGGGGAAGAAGAGCAGCAGAAGCUGCUGGAGGCCUUAGUAGGGAUUGUCCAUCAGUCUUCAUGGAGCAGCAGAAGAGUGGAAAAACAAGGCAGGAGGGAUAAAGCCACCAGAGGAGUCAGUGAAGAGAAGCUUGUGGUACAUGGCUUGGUGCCAGGUAGUUCUGCAAUGAAAACAGGUCAAAUCCUGAUUGGAGAUGUUCUUGUUGCUGUAAAUGAUGUCGAUGUGAAUUCUGAAAACAUAGAGAGGGUUUUGUCUUGCAUUCCAGGUCCUAUGCAGGUUAAACUGACAUUUGAAACCUCGGUGUUUGAGCCUGAAGGAACUUGUCAGCAAAGGAACAAACAGCCGCAGUCAGGUAUGAACAACCUGGUUCGGCUGCUGUGGGGAGAGGACAGCUCGGAGCAGCAGCAGGACGUGCCUCACAUUGUCAUGUUCCUCUCGCUGAAACUGGACUCGGACACAGCCAAGGACGAGCAAGAAAUUAUUUAUCAGUACCCCAUAUCUGAAGCCUCCCAAAAACUGAAAAGUGUGAGAGGGAUAUUUCUCACGCUGUCUGACAUACUGGAAAGUGUUACUGGUACCGAGAUUAUCAGUUCCUCCCUUUUCUUAUGUGAAAAACUGGUUCAAGUUGUUUACUGGAAAGAAGCUGACAAGUUGCUCGUAAUUGGCCUUCCUGAAGAAAAUGUGCCACUUUCUCAGCUGAGGAACAUGAUUCAAGAUGUUGUCAGGACCUUGACAUUCAUGUACGGUUCUUUGGACAGUGCUUUUUGCCAGGUGGAAAAUGUUUCUCGCCUGGAUCAUUUUUUCAACCUGUUCUUCCAGCGUGCCCUUCAUCCCACGAGGCUGCAGCCCAGCAGCAGCCUCGGUGCUCAGCCCCAGGGUUCCUGCAGUGCCCUGUUCCUGGACAGCCUCCCAGGCCUGCGCUGGCUCACUCUGCCUCAGGAGAUCAAGAUGGAAAUCGACACAGCGCUGAGUGAUCUGGAAGCAGCUGACUUUGCAGAGCUGUCUGAAGAUUAUUAUGACAUGAGAAGAUUAUAUGUGAUCCUGGGCUCUUGCCUCUUUUACAAGGGUUACCUGAUCGGCAAUCACCUGCCGAAGGAGCACCUCGUUGACGUGGGUCUGUACUGCCGGCACUACUGCCUGCUGCCGCUGGCCGCGGGGCGGCGGGCGGCGCAGGCGGUGAUCUGGCGGGAGGUGUUCCCGCAGCGGCCCCGGCCCCGCGGGGAGCCCGCCUGCACGGGGUACGCGGAGCCUGAGGCUCGACACUUCCUCCUCAUAGUCGGCCUGAGACACUUUGUGCUGUGUGUCCUGCUGGAGGCCGGGGGCUGUGCAUCCAGAGCUGUCGGGAAUCCCGGCCCGGACUGUAUCUACGUAGACCAGGUCAAAGCGACCAUUCUCCAGCUGGAAGGAAUCGACGCCAGCAUAGAGGAGAGGCUGGACUCUCCCUCCAUCCCUCCUUUAGCCUGCGCCGACUGGUUCCUCCCUGCAGCACGGGACAGAGCGGAGAGCUCCAGCACCUCGCCGAUGCUGAGCAAGCUGCAGAGCUCCUGCAGGCCUGCCAGCGCUCCGGGGAGCAGGAGGAGCCUCUUUGGGGACGCUUCCCCCGGCACAAGGAAGCAGAGCCCGCCCAGGGGCAGCGGCGAAGGGCCCGCCGAGAGGGAGAGCAGCGCCCCGCAGCCUGCGGGGGAGCGGGGCAGAGAGCACGGGCACAGGGACCUGGGGAGAGGGCAGCUCCAACAGACUCAGGCCACUAGGAAAAAACACACCCUGCCCAACCCAUUUCAUUCAGGAAACCUUAAAAAGAACCCUUCAGAGAAAGAUACAGAACUUCCUAAUGCUCUCAAGUUGACAUCUGGUCCUGAGAAUACCCUCUUCCACUAUCUGUCUUUGGAGACAAUGCAAGGAAUCUUUAUUACUCCAACUCACAAAGAAGUGGCACAGCUCGGCGGCUCCAUCCACCCUCAGCUAAUUGAGAAUUUCUACCAGUGCUGCCUUUCAAUUCGCUCCAUUUUCCAGCAGUCCAUGAGGAAAGAGCUGUUUUACAGAAAAAGAAGAAGGCAGGCAGUGGGAUUGCAGAGUUCAGUAAGGCAGCUGAGGAUCCAGGUCUGGUGAGAGAACACGGACUUCUCUUUGAGUGCUCUCCUGAAAACUGGACUGACCAAAAGAAACCAGCACCAACAAUGAACUACUGGGUUGUGGGGAGACUGAUUCUCCAUCCCAAGCCCCAGGAGUGUUACGUGUGUUUCCAUGACUCAGUGACAGAGGCUGCUGUGGAACUGGCCUUUAAGCUGUCCUUUGGCUUGGCUGCAUAGCUGAGCUCCCUGCGCAUCAGGCACCCUGUGUGCUGUGUUACUGCUUUAAAGAGCCCUGACAAAUGAAACUAACUCCCUUGGGUGCCACCCAUGGGGUAGCAUCAAAAUGCUUUAAAAAAUCAAAUACCUGGUGGGAUGAUGCAGUUAAAACUUCAGUGGUGCUUCUAAUGAGCUCGUCAAAUGAAUACUUUAAAAUAUUUCAGAGAAGCAAAGUUCUUAUUUUUAUAUACUGUCAUUUUUUUUUUAUCCUGGUCAUAACUUUGUUGUAUGAAAACACCACAUAAUUUGUGGGUUCACUGCUGUUAAGUGUACAACAUGCAAUAUAAAAUGGUAAGCUGACCCUCAAAGUACUCUAUGAACAUGGAAAUUGGUGAGGGAGGGAAAAAAAAGUUCUUCUAUUAGUUAAAAUUUUGCUCCUCUGAGGGCCUGAAAAAUGCUGAAUGUUUUCAGUAGAACUCUGUUAAUCAAAACAGAGAAAUCUUUCAGACAAUUCCUGGUACUUAGGCUCACAAAACUAAUGGCUUAUCAUUCCUGCUCUCCUGGCACACUCAAGGACUAUAGUGUGGUUGAUGUUUUACUUGACUCUGUGAGUUUUAACUAUAAAUAAUACUUUUAUUUGUUAAAAUGCAAUUUUGAAGACACAAAGAAAGGUGGGGGGUGGGCAGGGUGGUUUUAAGAUGUGCAUGGACUUGGCUUAUUUUAUAUUCACAAUUUCAUAAUAAAAAUGUAUAUUUGUUAAGGAACAGUGAAGCAUUAAUUUUAAUUUUUUUUUUACUUAUUUUCUCUUUUAUUAUUUUACUCUUGUUUUCCAUAAGUGCUUUUCAUAAAAUGCAUAACUCGAAUUGGAUUUUAAACAAAGAGAUCAAGAAUUUUAAGUCUUCAGGAAAGCAAAUUGAAUUUCAUGGGUUCUCAUGACCAAAGCUUUAGGUCUUGCUUUCUCUAGUAAAUGACACAGUUUGGGUAGUCCUAAAACAGUCAGUCAGUGCUUGCAGUGCUCACAGGGUGAUUCCCAGUUUCAGUUCCAAGCAGCAGAAGUCUGAAAUGCAAGCGUGUGAUUGCAGCUGGGCUGAGCGGCGUUCUCCAGGAUUUAUGGUUCCCAGCAGGUGAGCAAGAGCAGUUCAGUCUGAGGCAUACAGAUCACACAGCAGUGUGUGUGUUAGCUGUGCUCCCCCUGUGUAAAUCAAGUGAUGUGAGUUACCCUGUUACACCUCUCAAAAGUCUAAAGUCAGUGAGGUUUGGGUAUUAGAUUUCCUCAUAGAUGGGAGGAGGAAUGUGGAGGAAAGCAAGCAGUCUUUGCUGCAGUGCUUUUAGCUGUUUGGCAUAGUGUCCAGGAGAACCCUUCCCUUAAUUCAGAAGAAUGAUGCAAUUCUAAAGAUGCCACCAAGGUUUUGACAGCUGUAUCAGCUGUCAGGCCAGAAGGCACAGGGAGGCUGCUUCAGGAGAGCAGAGUCUGCACAGCCCGAGGCUGCUCUGCUCUCCUGCACUCUCCAUAGGUGUCCCUAGCACUGGGAAUGGAUGCAGUAAGGAAGUUGAAA